Molecule: non-coding RNA, 28 nt
Filed under: Bombyx mori (domestic silkworm)
Lineage: Eukaryota; Metazoa; Arthropoda; Insecta; Lepidoptera; Bombycidae
Source: RNAcentral
ACCAAAAAAUCAUCCGACGAGCUACCGC